UAUAUAUGUUACAGUAAAUAGGUGAAAUUAGGAAUUACAUGUAAUUACUAAAAUUUAGGAAUAACAGGUAAUUCCCGGUGCACUUAGUAAAUACAAGUAAUUCCUGAAACGGCCCAGUUAUUACCAGUAAUUACUAAUUUUAAAAUGAGUUUUUACACCUAUUUACUGACUGCUAAAACAAUGUUGUAUUAUGGUCAGAUGAUCAACAGUUAUGGUAAUACUAACUAGAAGAUCAGUUAGUACUCUUAAAAUAUUGAAUGGUUGAUUUGUAUUCAAAAUAUCUUGAAUAAAUAUGGACUUUCAAGUAUUUGGUUAAAUCAGAAUAAC
Molecule: long non-coding RNA, 327 nt
Filed under: Mytilus galloprovincialis (Mediterranean mussel)
Lineage: Eukaryota; Metazoa; Mollusca; Bivalvia; Mytilida; Mytilidae
Source: RNAcentral